RNA transcript from Folsomia candida, 5987 nucleotides. It is a transcript of the gene named probable serine/threonine-protein kinase DDB_G0282963, with no coding region annotated. The transcript has 20 exons. The record is from RefSeq and is a predicted model, not a curated record. NCBI's taxonomy places the organism in Eukaryota, Metazoa, Arthropoda, Collembola, Entomobryomorpha, Isotomidae.
UCCCACAAUUUACAGUUGAAAUCGUGUCGCAGCGGUGUACCCAACGGAAAGUAAAACUAGUGUGGGUUGUAAUUACCAAGUGAAUUAUUUAUUACUGCCGAUAAGUCGUAGUUUUAAACUUCGUUUCAACGGUGCCAACCAUUUGUUAAGAACUCGAGGCUCAGCAAUGAGCCAUUGCGUCUUCCGUUCGAGAAAUGACCACUACUAGCGAAUCGUCCCCUCCUGUGCAUUUGCAGUGCUUGAACAAUUGUUUAAGUGAAAAAUUGUCGGGCGGUGAUUCUCCUUGUGAACAACAGAUUUUAGAUUCGAGUUCCUCUUUGGAAAAGUGUCCCACGAAUAACAAUAACAAUAAUACGACAAACUCUAAUUCCAAUACAGUUCAUUUCAAGUGUACUCAGAGACAAGAACAAGAGCAGCAGCAACAGCAGAAUACGGGGUGCAGCCAAAAUAGUUUCAGUUCGGCAAGAGCAUCUCCGGUGUCUAGUCCAUGUAUCAUUAACUCCACGAUCGCAUCCGUGUCAAACGCCUGCUGUGCCCAACUGAGCUACAAUAAUUGUAAAAGUACAAGUUCUUCCUCCUCGUCUUGUGCUUCUGGUGGUGGGACUGUUGUAACAAGUGGACCUGAAUUGUCACCAGCAUUCGAAUCCGCAAACGCCUCCUCCUCCCCUGGACGUGAACGUGCUCUUACGCAAGACUAUAGUGCUGCACGAGAAGGAAACAACCGAACUGGCUUAAAAAUCACUGAGAACCAUUUGUCCACUAAAGUCCUUCGUAAUAAAAGUGUGCCCUACUGUGUGCCCUACUCAAUUCCGAAUUCUGGUCUGGGAGGACUGUCCACACUGGUGAAACAAAACCAGGACAAGAGUAAUCACUCCCAAGCGAAUUCCUCUCCUUUGGCUGCUUCCACUGCGCCGACAUACAGUGGAAGUGGUUCAACUUUAGCAGCCAAAUCCUUUAUUGCGUCGACUACGUCUUCUUCUCAUGACGAGGAUCAAGUCAUGUUUGAUGAGCGUCCAAAUAGCGUCAGUGGAGUGGUGCACGAGACUAACCUUAGUAAUAACCCUCAUCUGAUGGGUUCAACCUCUCUUCUCCUGUCAAGCAGUGCUAGGAUCACUUCUUCUGGUGGCACUGGCGGCGGCGGCAGCGGUGUCAACUCCAACGGUAUCCAUUCCAAUAAUAUGGUAAUCAAAGCUGGAGAACCCAACGGGAACAGCAUUGAGCUUGACAAUCAGUUUCAUCACAAAAACCAUCACCACCACGUACAUCAUUUCCACCAACAGCACCACCAAUCCAACGGGAGUAGUAAUAGUAUUAGCGGAACGGGUGAUUGCUGCCUUGGUCAUCUCAACGGGCCCUCAACCAACAACUCGUCCAUCGCCACGGGUGAAAGUAUGGGGAUCAUGCAGCCUCACGAUAACUUUGGCAUCGUCGUCGGUGGUCUUAAUAACCAACACAGUAAUAGCAAUCAAAAUAAUCAAAUGUGCCACAACGGACUUUUCCAAUGUGUGCAUAAUUGUGGUGGUGGUGGAAUGUCGCUGGCCACGGGUAAUGGGAGUAUGGGGAGCAUCAGUGGAAACAGCAACGGGGCUGGAAGUAUGACAUCCCCAGGAGGUAGCCUCAAUGAACAUGACUGUGAUGACGAUGACAAGGUGAUAAAUGGGGACACCUUUGCUGUGGGAGACCUACCUGAAGGUGAUGCCAUCAAAAUGUUUGUUGGCCAAGUACCCAAGCACCUGAAUGAACCCGAAUUGCGUUCCCUAUUUGAAGAAUUUGGACGAGUGUUCCAGAUCAACGUGCUCAGGGACAAGGUGACCAAGCAGAGCAAAGGUUGCUGUUUUGUGACUUUCUACACGAGGAAAUCUGCCCUAGACGCUCAGAACGCUCUUCAUAACGUCAAAACUUUACCUGGUAUGAAUCAUCCUUUACAGAUGAAGCCAGCAGAUAACGAGAACCGAUACGAGAGGAAGUUGUUCGUGGGGAUGAUAUCUCGGAAGUGCAAUGAAGCCGAAGUGAGGAACAUGUUUUCGAGGUUUGGAGUGAUUGACGAAUGUACCGUCCUUCGUGAUAAUAAUCAGCAGAGCAAAGGGUGUGCAUUCGUGACAUUUGCGUCCAAACAAAGCGCUCAGAAUAGUAUCAAAGCGAUUCACCACAGUAUUACGAUGGAGGGCUGCUCUUCCCCUAUCGUAGUCAAGUUCGCCGACACCCAAAAAGAUAAGGAUCAGAAGCGCCAACAAACCAUUCAAUCCACGCUUAUGGGAAAUCUUUCUGCUACUGCGGUUGCUCCCAUGUCCCAACCACAACCAUUCUUCUCGGGGCUUUUGAAAUUGGAACAGAUCAUUCAGCAACUGCAACAGCCCACACAAUCCCAAGCACAGAGCUACUACUCUCAACUGAGCCCCCUUGGCGUGGGUGGACUUGGGGGAAUUGGGUCGCUGGGAUCGGGGGGUGCAAGUGGAAUCGCGGGUUUGGGGUCGUCGGCAUCCCAAUCGGACUUGGCCACUAUCGCUGCUCUCGCCCUUAGUUCCAAUCUGAACCCCAACAAUCAGCACCAUCUCGUCAAUCUGGCGACUCUUGCGGCUUUAGGCAAUCACGCUUCACUUUCUCCUUCAGAAUUCACUUAUGCAGGUGCUAACGGAUGUUCAUUGGGGUCGACUAGCGGGCUUACAAUUGGUAAUGGACUUCAGUCAGGACUGAGUUCUUUUUCGGGUGGUGCUAUUCGAAGUCAGCCCGUCGCCAAUAAACAAGUAAGAAUCUUCACUAGCGAAGGGCCCGAUGGCAGUAACCUUUUCGUGUAUCAUUUAACCCCAGAGUGUGGCGAUCUGGACUUGGCUCAGAUGUUUCAAGCUUAUGGAAACGUGAUUUCUGCCAAAGUAUUUGUGGAUAAGCAAACCAAUCUUUCCAAAUGUUUCGGUUUCGUGUCGUACGACAGCCCAGUGUCAGCCCAGCUGGCUAUUCAACAGAUGAAUGGCUUCCAAAUUGGUAUGAAGCGUUUGAAAGUCCAAUUAAAGCGUCCCAAGGACGCUGCCAAACCUUACUAAAGUGCAGUGAUGAUGACGAUGACGUUGCGAAAAGCCAAUCAAAAUGAAACAAGUCAAUAUAAGAAUUAAAUCUAACCAAAAACGCCAAGUUUCACAAUUAAUAUAAUUAUUUCAUUAUCAUUGAUCCAACUGGACGGAUGGAUCGCAGAUCUUUCUAGUAUUUGUAAACAACCAGUUCAGGUCAAUUUACGAGUUACCAAUUACAAACUAUUUUACAAAGAGAAAAUAUUAUUUUUCAACGUAUUCCUACCGAGAAAGAGAAAGUCGAAAAGUGAAAACAACUUUUAUACCCUUCCAUUUACACUGAUGACACCACAAUUAUUCUUCAAAUUUCCUCACAAACUACAAGAAUUCUGAGCUAUCGAAAAAGUGUUGUCAAAGUCAAAUCAAUCAAUCACCAAUUGGAUCAAUACUAACGAAAAGUCUUCAACCAUUAUCAACAAAAUCCCGACCCUGAUGACGAAUUCUUCCGCUAUGAACCAAGAACCAAACCAACCAACAAUAGACUGUUGUCACUGAAUUGAUAUGAUCGUUCAUUCUUUGAAGCAAAUCUUCGUCCAUAUUUUGAUUGGCUUGACAUGCAAAACUUUCGUUCUUCUCUUCUGCGACCCAUCACACAAAAAAAUAACCAGACCAAAUUCGAACCUGCAAAUCCUCUUCCAUCCAACACCACUUUCAAAUUCAUUUGUGAAUUAUGGUCGAAAUUAAUGUUGUAAUUAUGUUAUAAAUCUGCUACAAAUGGUGUCGCUCUCCCUCUCUUUCGUGCCGUUUUGUUAGUUACCUACGCCCGUCCCGUUAUUUUAUACGUUAUUAUUAUCUCUGUGCAUGUUGUGGUGUGCCCAUCCACCCCUCAUUGUUCCUUUCCUACUUGUUCUGUCCCCUGUUUUAUGUCACGUCGUUAUUACCGAGUUACAAUGUACACUGUCGUUUAAUGUACCAGUCGUUUAGCAUACCUUCAGCCGUGGCAAAUACCUUUGGUGUUUACUUUAAUAUUAUAUUUGGAUUCCUCUAUAUUCGCCAUCCACGAUACGAUAUAUACUUAUUUCGUUCGAGCUACCGUUUACUUUAGCAGCACUCUCGUCCUUGUAGUUUAGUUUAGUAUCAGUAAAAGCGGACAACCUUUUACUUUGUGUUUCCAGAGUUUAUUCACUAGCCAGCAUAUUAUAGUCUAGCUAGAUUUUAGAUCCCAUUGUGGACUGGCAGGGUUAAUGGUCAUGGUCAUAUUAUUAUUAUUAUCCAUUACGGAAUUAUGGAAAUGCACCAUCGUGUUUCACAAAGUAGGAGAGAAGUCUUUUGUCUCUUUUGUUCAGCUACCGUUCAGAAUAAUGGGCGAAAGUAAAGUUGAAUGCAAACAAAACAAAAUUUAUUCCCUGUGUCCUCACACCAGUUAACAACGCGUGUACUCAUUCCUGUACGUACACUCUCGCUUACUCGAAAAUGUUCAAAAUUCGGCACAAAAGAAAUUCCCUCUUAAUUUGUAAUAAACUGCAACUUUUCCUGGACUCAAAUUGGUGUUUCCGUACUAAUUAAUUUAUCAAUUUGCUAAAUGUUGAACAAAAGAGAGAAACGAAUCCUGUUUACUUAUCUUCUAUACUGAUGUACAUUUUUAGGGCUACCUUAAAUAUUUAUUAUUUGAGUCAGCAGCAUCUACUAUUUAUUAGUUACAAUGGUAAUUCCAUCCGUGUAGGUAUACUUAUUGUUACUACAUAUUAUUCUUGUCGUACUUGUAUGUAGUGUAUAUUUAUGUAUUGUAAUUUGCAUAUAUGUACUGUGCCAUAAGUUUGCAUUGCACGCGCCGGCAACCCGUGUACGUACGUAAUGUCAUGUUUUUUUACAAAGCAGAACAGCUACGCACAGGUGAGUCAAUUUGAUGAGUUUAUCUAGCCAAGUCAAUUGGAAUAAUUUUUGCACUGAGGGUGACCGGCUUUAACAGUCGCACUCACGUGUGGGCAUAGUCAUUCUUGUUAAAUAUGUGUUACCAAAAAUUUAAAUGAGAUCCAAAUCCUUGCUUAUUAUAUCAUUUAAGUAAAUAAAUAAAUAAAUACGCUAGGAAAUGUAGGUUAUUUAUUUAGAAGGAGCUUUAAUUUUCGACUUACUUACUCUUGACUUUCACUUUUAUGUUACCAAAAUGUGGAGCUGAAACUACAAAUUAUUUAAAAAUAUAUACAUAUAUAUAUCUUUGUUCCUUUGAUUUUAGGUAUGUAAAAAUGUGUGUGCUUAAAAGCCGUGCUAUUAUAAUGUGUAUGUAUAUGUUUAUGCGUCAUAAGUCCGUACAUAAUUCUUUGGGAAACUUGAGUCAACGGAUAAGUAGAUUAAUUUGCUAGAGUUACAUAUUGAACUAAUGUGUAAGAGUGUCUGCAACUAAAUAUAUCCUUGCUGUUGUUUAUUUAAGUUGUCGUUAAGUUAUGCAUGUCACCAGUUUCUAUUAAGUCGAACGUUAACAAGUACCAGUGAAGCUAUGACUUUCACCAUACAAACUAAUCAAUGGAUAUACGCUGUGAACAAUCUAAAUUAGUAGAAUGUAGGGCAGCAUUUCACUGUUGCAUAUAUUCUACAGAUAUCAAUUAUUAUAAACGCAAACAAAUUAAAUGAACCACUUAUAGAGUAGAAGACUUGCUGUUAACGUAAUAAUAAUAAUAAAAUCGCUAUAACGGGGUAAUAUUAUUAUAGCCGAUAAGUGAUAUAAAAAUAUUACGUGUCAUAUUUCACUUAACGACUUGAAUACAUGUUCUACAAGAUAUAAUGGGUAGGUAACUGUAACAUUGUGUACGUGGUAAAUUAUUACAGUGGACAAUGUCUGCUGAUCAAAAACAUGGACCGAUGAUAAAAAUUGGGUAAAUAUACGAGUAAGUAGUUAAAUACUAUUCUUACGAUAAAUGUAUUAUUAUAAAUAUGACUAUUAUGAACUGAAAGAGCUUUCUAUUAAUUAAUAAAAAGGAUAUUCAAAUA